This 306-nucleotide ribosomal RNA is filed under the name uncultured soil bacterium. RNAcentral's name for it is "bacterial SSU rRNA". It matches the Rfam family "Bacterial small subunit ribosomal RNA", at positions 26 to 335 of the family's 1533-position model. The record is from RNAcentral.
AGAUUGAACGCUGGCGGCAGGCCUAACACAUGCAAGUCGAGCGGUAGAGAGGUGCUUGCACCUCUUGGGAGCGGCGGACGGGUGAGUAAUGCCUAGGAAUCUGCCUAGUGGUGGGGGAUAACGUUCGGAAACGGACGCUAAUACCGCAUACGUCCUACGGGAGAAAGCGGGGGACCUUCGGGCCUCGCGCCAUUAGAUGAGCCUAGGUCGGAUUAGCUAGUUGGUGAGUAAUGGCUCACCAAGGCACGAUCCGUAACUGGUCUGAGAGGAUGAUCAGUCACACUGGAACUGAGACACGGUCCAAGA